This 61-nucleotide transfer RNA is filed under the name Lepidonotopodium sp. YZ-2018. RNAcentral describes it as "tRNA-Asn". Lineage: Eukaryota; Metazoa; Annelida; Polychaeta; Phyllodocida; Polynoidae. The record is from RNAcentral.
UAAAUAGAAGCCAAAAAGAGGCACCUAACUGUUAAUUAGAUCAAUGUAUUUACCUAUUUAA